CAGGUUGUACGGUUUAGGGUAAUGCGGUGCUUUGGAUGCGAUCCAGAUGGAGCGCCGCGGGGAGAGGUGGCCGUCAGACGCUUCUGGGAGUCGAUCCCGUCUGCAACUACAGCUCCAUGUGUAUGUAUUGUGCCAAGGAAAGCCGUCACGCCUGCCGUCAUAGUGUCCAGAGUUCCCGGCCCCCAGACCUACAAGCGGCGAGUGCAGAUAGAGCUUGACACCGUCACGUUGCAGCGGGGGACCGCCUUUCUACACUCAAAGAAAAAUAAGCUGAUUGUCCGGAGAGUCUAUCUCGACUUCGCUUCUCUGGCGAUAAACAUUCUCUUGGGCAAAGUGAAAGGUCGCAGAGGCAACGUCGACAACUUCAUCGUCGCGGGAACACCGGGCACGGGAAAGACUUACUUUGGGUAUUACUUACUCAUGCAGCUGAGGAACCAUCCGGCGUUUGUUAACAGGGAGCUCAUUUGGGAAGAGUCUACCAUCGAUGGUCCUGGCCUGAGCUUUUUCUUUCGAGGCAACGAAGUGGUGGAAGGCGUCGUGGGAGCAUUUGACUCGCGGCGCACGGAAGACACAGUCUUCCUCUGCAAUGGGCCGCUUCUGAGGCCACAGCAUACUCUCAGCCAAGUCGUCAUGUUCUCGUCCAACAAGGACGAAGCGAAGUUCACGAGGCAAUUUAUCAAGGAUACUGUCUGUGCAGUCGUUUACAUGCCUCUGUGGGAUCUAGGCGAACUGGCUCUCCUGUACGCAUCUGCUGGCCUGAUGAACAAUCCUGGGGAUUUCACGUCGCUGAAAGGACUGUUUGACUUUUGGGGUGGAUCUGCCCGGGCCGUGUUUGACACCUUCGACGAUCCAGAUUACGUCUCUCGGUUUGAGACUGCUUUGCGAAAUGCGAGGAAUCAUAAAGACCUGGACAUUGUGAUGGCUUUGAGACAGGACAGGGACAACAGCAGCUACAUCUUCCAUCUGAGGCCUUUGGACCCGGCAUAUAGAACGGCAGCUGUGGUUUAUGCAUCUUCCCACGUAAAGAAGACGCUGGAGGCCGCUAGAAAAAUGGAGAGUUUCAGACAGCUAAUGGACUACAUCAAGGAUAACAAGUUCAUCAUGGACAACGCUGUUUUGGUGGGCCGGAAGUUUGAGUACCUCGUACAUUGCCUUUUGGCGUCCACAGGGGUGAAGAAGCUCGAGUUUCGUUCGAGAAGAUUGGUCCACACUCAAGAUACUUGCAGUGGAGGCAGCAACUUGAAGUUUGAUUUCAACGGCAACGUUACUCUCUUCCGCAAGCUCAGGGAUAUAUCAGGCAAUCUAGGAUAUUACGUGCCCGAUUACCCGUCGUACCCUUGCUACGAUGCUGUGGGAAUACUGCGUGACGGAUCUGCGUUACUUCUCCAGAUUACUCGGAACGUCAGACACGAUGCGCUAAUGCAGUACGUUGAGGAUGCCAUGGAAAAGUUCAACGGGAAAGUUCAGUUCCUCUAUCUAGUUCCAGAUGAGAUGUUUGAUACGUAUCCGCCCCAGAGAUUGAUGUGGGGACAGACACAGAUGACCUGGCCUUGUGAAGUGAGCGUCGUGGGCAUUCCAGCGGACUUUCCUGUCAACAUUAUGCAUCAAAUUCCAUUGUUUGGUGAUGGUAAGCUUUUCAGCUCAUUUCAGUUAGCUUUGCAUGUGUUUGUUUCACUGCAGAGGAGACCCGUGAUAGUUCAGACGGCAGUAAGCGUCCGAUUGGUGCCGACGCGACCGACCAUGGUGGAGCUGCUAAACGUCCUGCCACUGAUGGAACCAAGCGUUUGGCUGAUGAUGCUGGACCGAGUGAGAUAUCUACGUAAUACCAAGCGUUUGGCUGAUGACGGAAGAACCGCUGUGGAGAACAGACUGAUCGAAAGCGUCUGGACGCUCGAGGAGCUUUGUGGUACACUACGAAGGUGGACAUCUUUUACCACUGGGACAUUCGUGACGGCUUGCUCGAGAUGCAAUAGCAUGUGAAAAGAAAUCUUUGUUUCUUGUAUUUUGUGCUAUGGACACAGACUGGAAUUCAUGGUCAAAAGGUAGAAACUUAUAUCCGAUCGACGAAGAAAAUCUCGUGAGCUUCGCAUCAUGAUUUCGAGUGCAAAUGCAUCCGAGUUCUCUGGCUUGACGCCGAAUGGACACGCCAAUCCUUUCCGCCAAUCCUUUCUGGACCUCAUCUGCAGUCGAGCACGAAUGUUGGCGUUGGGGAAGUACUGUUUUUCCAAGAUCUUAAAAAUUCCCUUUCUUGCUACCAGAGAAGAGGAAAGUGAGAGACCAGGCAGAAAGACAUUGUGGCCUUAUUUUCCUUUCUCCUAAGCCCUCCCCUCCUCUCCUUGGGCAGGAGCAUGAGAAAAUGAGGGUAGCCGUGUGGCCACACUAGCGGUAGCUGUUGUCACCAUGCCUCAGGCUCACGAGGACAGUAGUGACAAGGUUUUUGAGACAGAUCUGAAACGCCUAAGGAGGGGCUAGGGUUUAUGACGAAUGAAAUGCCGCGCCAACGCCUUUGCGAAUGUAGGGCUGGGAUUCCAUCGAUCGUGUUAUGGCGUGAGGAGGGAUUUCUUCAGCGAGGUAAGCGGUCCAAACGUGUUCACCUUCCUUGAAGCGUGCAGCACGGCGAGAGAGGUCGAGCUUGGCAGGAGAAUUCACGCUGCCGGGAUUGGAGAUCUUUCUAGCACCGCUGCCUGGGCAUGUGCUCGAGCUGUGGAAGCAUGGCGGAGGCUCUCAUGAUCUUUGAGAGCUUGGCAAAUCCAGGCUUGGCUCUGUGGAACUCUCUGGUGAUGGGAUACACAAAGAAACAGGGAUAGCAAGCUGGAUUUGGAGUUUUUCUUCGCGAUGGAUCCAUUCCACUUGCAACUGUCCCCACAUCAUCCUCUGCAUCAGCAGUGUGUCAUGGCUGGCUCUUUGAACCAUCACAGGAAAACCAUCACGAGGCACUCCCACAGCAUUGUAGCAAGAACUUAGUGAGCUUAGAGAAUCCUUGGAAAUGCAGUAUCCCGACUUCUUGGUAAUGAAUAAUGAUAUCCCUGAUCUUC
Molecule: RNA transcript, 3035 nt
Organism: Selaginella moellendorffii
Lineage: Eukaryota; Viridiplantae; Streptophyta; Lycopodiopsida; Selaginellales; Selaginellaceae
Exons: 5
Source: RefSeq, a predicted model, not a curated record